Biomphalaria pfeifferi is the source of this 609-nucleotide non-coding RNA. Lineage: Eukaryota; Metazoa; Mollusca; Gastropoda; Planorbidae. The record is from the annotation of a GenBank genome assembly.
AUUCUUAGAGAAUAACACAGUUUAUUAUCUAGAAUCUGUAUGUCACAAUUUUUUAAAAAUGUAUACCUCAGUUGUUAACUAUAUGUUACAGUAAUUAUUGUAAAUAAUGUUACCUAUAUGAAAUAACACUUCCUUGACAUGACCUUGGUAUUGCAUCAUGGGACAGUAUAUUUGCUUACAUAUAUUCAUAUUCAAUGACCAACAAGUAUUGAACAAACGUAAAGAACUAAGACACAAGAAACUAACUACUUUGUACUUACAGGUAAAUCUACAAGAAAGAAUGUACAUUAAAGAAGAUGUUCAGAUAUAAUACAGAAAAGACCUUAGUCCAAACUGUUUGCAUUUCAUUUUCUUUAAACUACUAUGGAUCUUUGGGCGCAUAGGUAUAAUGGGAUAUGAAAAGGCGGUCAGACUAUCAAAGGUGGAGAUUUCCAUGGGAAUACCCAAAAGACUAGUUAAUUACUACACUCUCAAGUAAAUGAUAGCCAGCAACUACAAACAAGGCUCAACAAAUGGGCAUCAGAAAGCACAAGCUGAGAUAUUUACUAAGAAAUAUGGCCACUCCAAACUGAACAUUAUGAAUUCCAUCCCCCCCCCCCCCCCCCCCCC